This 215-nucleotide unclassified non-coding RNA is filed under the name Chytridiomycota sp. Its description in RNAcentral is "partial contains small subunit ribosomal RNA, internal transcribed spacer 1, and 5.8S ribosomal RNA". The stretch from base 1 to 47 matches the Rfam family "Eukaryotic small subunit ribosomal RNA", at positions 1785 to 1831 of the family's 1831-position model. Lineage: Eukaryota; Fungi; Chytridiomycota. The record is from RNAcentral.
AAAGUCGUAACAAGGUAACCGUAGGUGAACCUGCGGUUGGAUCAUUAAUAAAUUAGUGUUUGACACUUGCGAUUGACUCUUCGGAGUCGAUUAUACACCCUGUGAAAUGUUUAGUGCGUAUAUUAAUUUAUACCAUUAUAAAUCUACUCUAUAUUGUCUGAAUUAAGAAUCUAAAAAUUAAAAAACAACUUUUAACAACGGAUCUCUUGGCUCUC